UAGGGAAUCUUCGGCAAUGGACGAAAGUCUGACCGAGCAACGCCGCGUGAGUGAAGAAGGUUUUCGGAUCGUAAAACUCUGUUGUUAGAGAAGAACAAGGACGUUAGUAACUGAACGUCCCCUGACGGUAUCUAACCAGAAAGCCACGGCUAACUACGUGCCAGCAGCCGCGGUAAUACGUAGGUGGCAAGCGUUGUCCGGAUUUAUUGGGCGUAAAGCGAGCGCAGGCGGUUUCUUAAGUCUGAUGUGAAAGCCCCCGGCUCAACCGGGGAGGGUCAUUGGAAACUGGGGGACUUGAGUGCAGAAGAAGACAGUGGAAUUCCAUGUGUAGCGGUGAAAUGCGUAGAUAUAUGGAGGAACACCAGUGGCGAAGGCGGCUCUCUGGUCUGUAACUGACGCUGAGGCUCGAAAGCGUGGGGAGCAAACAGG
This 429-nucleotide ribosomal RNA is filed under the name Gemmatimonadota bacterium. RNAcentral describes it as "Gemmatimonadetes bacterium partial 16S ribosomal RNA". It matches the Rfam family "Bacterial small subunit ribosomal RNA", at positions 355 to 776 of the family's 1533-position model. Lineage: Bacteria; Pseudomonadati; Gemmatimonadota. The record is from RNAcentral.